Molecule: ribosomal RNA, 460 nt
Filed under: Babesia bigemina
Lineage: Eukaryota; Apicomplexa; Aconoidasida; Piroplasmida; Babesiidae
Description: SSU rRNA
Rfam family: Eukaryotic small subunit ribosomal RNA
Source: RNAcentral
AUUGGAAUGAUGGUGAUGUACAACCUCACCAGAGUACCAAUUGGAGGGCAAGUCUGGUGCCAGCAGCCGCGGUAAUUCCAGCUCCAAUAGCGUAUAUUAAACUUGUUGCAGUUAAAAAGCUCGUAGUUGUAUUUCAGCCUCGCGUUUUUUCCCUUUUGUUGGGUCUUUUCGCUGGCUUUUUUUUUACUUUGAGAAAAUUAGAGUGUUUCAAGCAGACUUUUGUCUUGAAUACUUCAGCAUGGAAUAAUAGAGUAGGACCUUGGUUCUAUUUUGUUGGUUUUGAGCCUUGGUAAUGGUUAAUAGGAACGGUUGGGGGCAUUCGUAUUUAACUGUCAGAGGUGAAAUUCUUAGAUUUGUUAAAGACGAACCACUGCGAAAGCAUUUGCCAAGGACGUUUUCAUUAAUCAAGAACGAAAGUUAGGGGAUCGAAGACGAUCAGAUACCGUCGUAGUCCUAACCA